RNAcentral lists this unclassified non-coding RNA (254 nucleotides) under Rozellomycota sp. RNAcentral's name for it is "Cryptomycota sp. partial contains 5.8S ribosomal RNA, internal transcribed spacer 2, and large subunit ribosomal RNA". The stretch from base 198 to 254 matches the Rfam family "Eukaryotic large subunit ribosomal RNA", at positions 1 to 57 of the family's 3401-position model. Lineage: Eukaryota; Fungi; Rozellomycota. The record is from RNAcentral.
GUGAAUCAUCGAAUCUUUGAACGCAACUUGCGCCUCUCUGAGGCAUGUCUGUUUGAGUGCCGCAUACUCUCUGCAGCAAUGCGACAUGGCCAUUGUCCCCGGACUGGGCCUAAACAAAGCCAGAUAGUGGCAGUUAAACUAGCCCGAGUGCUAAGCAUUCUCGAGCUAGCCGCACUGCCAUAAAUCUAUUCUAUCUUUGGCCUCAAAUCAGGCAAGACUACCCGCUGAACUUAAGCAUAUCAAUAAGCGGAGGA